RNAcentral lists this ribosomal RNA (510 nucleotides) under uncultured bacterium. Its description in RNAcentral is "partial 16S ribosomal RNA". It matches the Rfam family "Bacterial small subunit ribosomal RNA", at positions 28 to 507 of the family's 1533-position model. The record is from RNAcentral.
GACGAACGCUGGCGGCGUGCUUAACACAUGCAAGUCGAACGAAGAGCGAUGGAAGCUUGCUUCUAUCAAUCUUAGUGGCGAACGGGUGAGUAACGCGUAAUCAACCUGCCCUUCAGAGGGGGACAACAGUUGGAAACGACUGCUAAUACCGCAUACGAUCUAAUCUCGGCAUCGAGGAUAGAUGAAAGGUGGCCUCUACAUGUAAGCUAUCACUGAAGGAGGGGAUUGCGUCUGAUUAGCUAGUUGGAGGGGUAACGGCCCACCAAGGCGAUGAUCAGUAGCUGGUCUGAGAGGAUGAACGGCCACAUUGGGACUGAGACACGGCCCAGACUCCUACGGGAGGCAGCAGUGGGGAAUCUUCCGCAAUGGACGAAAGUCUGACGGAGCAACGCCGCGUGAGUGAUGACGGCCUUCGGGUUGUAAAGCUCUGUUAAUCGGGACGAAAGGCCUUCUUGCGAAUAGUGAGAAGGAUUGACGGUACCGGAAUAGAAAGCCACGGCUAACUACGUG